Molecule: ribosomal RNA, 428 nt
Filed under: uncultured bacterium
Lineage: Bacteria
Description: bacterial SSU rRNA
Rfam family: Bacterial small subunit ribosomal RNA
Source: RNAcentral
GUGGGGAAUAUUGGGCAAUGGGGGAAACCCUGACCCAGCAACGCCGCGUGAAGGAAGAAGGCUUUCGGGUUGUAAACUUCUUUUACCAGGGACGAAACAAAUGACGGUACCUGGAGAAAAAGCUCCGGCUAACUACGUGCCAGCAGCCGCGGUAAUACGUAGGGAGCAAGCGUUGUCCGGAUUUACUGGGUGUAAAGGGCGUGUAGGCGGAGAUGCAAGUCAGAUGUGAAAUCUGGGGGCUCAACCCCCAAACUGCAUUUGAAACUGUAUCCCUUGAGUAUCGGAGAGGCAGGCGGAAUUCCUAGUGUAGCGGUGAAAUGCGUAGAUAUUAGGAGGAACACCAGUGGCGAAGGCGGCCUGCUGGACGACAACUGACGCUGAGGCGCGAAAGCGUGGGGAGCAAACAGGAUUAGAAACCCGAGUAGUCC